UUGGCUUAGUGCAGCUCGGGGACUGAUGGCCCACCAGGGCCAGCAGCAAAACCACCAACACGACCAGCACUUUGAAUCCCCCGUGGUUGAACUCCUUGAGGGGGUACUAUUCCAAAU
This 117-nucleotide microRNA precursor is filed under the name Aquilegia coerulea. Its description in RNAcentral is "Aquilegia caerulea miR168 stem-loop (aqc-MIR168)". Its record names the gene aqc-MIR168. Lineage: Eukaryota; Viridiplantae; Streptophyta; Magnoliopsida; Ranunculales; Ranunculaceae. The record is from miRBase by way of RNAcentral.